This 27-nucleotide non-coding RNA is filed under the name Bombyx mori (domestic silkworm). The record is from RNAcentral. Lineage: Eukaryota; Metazoa; Arthropoda; Insecta; Lepidoptera; Bombycidae.
UCAUUCUGUUGUGGUUGCGCUGCUGCU